This 520-nucleotide ribosomal RNA is filed under the name uncultured bacterium. RNAcentral describes it as "bacterial SSU rRNA". It matches the Rfam family "Bacterial small subunit ribosomal RNA", at positions 28 to 526 of the family's 1533-position model. The record is from RNAcentral.
GAUUAACGCUGGCGGUGUGCCUAAUACAUGCAAGUCGAACGGAUUCUUAUUUAAAGAUUUCAUUUGCUUGUUGUUGGAUCCUCGGGAUCUCGGCGCGAGCAAGUGAAAGAUUUCAAGAAUUAGUGGCGGACGGGUGAGUAACACGUUGGUACCUGCCCUAUAGUGGGGGAUAACUGCCCGAAAGGGUAGCUAAUACCGCAUGUGAUCUUCGGAUCAAAGCCUUCGGGCGCUAUAGGAGGGGCCUGCGUCCCAUUAGCUAGUUGGUAGGGUAAAAGCCUACCAAGGCGACGAUGGGUAGCUGGAUCGAGAGGUUGAACAGCCACACUGGGACUGAGAUACGGCCCAGACUCCUACGGGAGGCAGCAGUAAGGAAUCUUCCACAAUGGACGAAAGUCUGAUGGAGCAACACCGCGUGCAGGAUGAAGGUUUUCGGAUCGUAAACUGCUUUUAUAGAGGAAGAUUAUGACGGUACUCUAUGAAUAAGGACCGGCUAACUACGUGCCAGCAGCCGCGGUAAAAC